This 408-nucleotide ribosomal RNA is filed under the name uncultured bacterium. RNAcentral describes it as "bacterial SSU rRNA". It matches the Rfam family "Bacterial small subunit ribosomal RNA", at positions 28 to 433 of the family's 1533-position model. The record is from RNAcentral.
GACGAACGCUGGCGGCGUGCUUAACACAUGCAAGUCGAGCGGUAAGGCCCUUUCGGGGGUACGACGAGCGGCGAACGGGUGAGUAACACGUGGGUGACCUGCCCUCAGCUCUGGGAGUAAGCCUGGGAAACCGGGGUACUAAUACCGGAUAUGACUCCAUGACGCAUGUUGUGGGGUGGAAAGCCUUGUGCGGCUGAGGAUGGGCCCGCGGCCUAUCAGCUUGUUGGUGGGGUGAUGGCCUACCAAGGCGACGACGGGUAGCCGGCCUGAGAGGGCGACCGGCCACACUGGGACUGAGACACGGCCCAGACUCCUACGGGAGGCAGCAGUGGGGAAUCUUGCGCAAUGGGCGAAAGCCUGACGCGCGACGCCGCGUGAGGGAUGACGGCCUCGGUUGUAACGUACUUC